RNAcentral lists this unclassified non-coding RNA (264 nucleotides) under uncultured fungus. RNAcentral's name for it is "partial contains 5.8S ribosomal RNA, internal transcribed spacer 2, and large subunit ribosomal RNA". Lineage: Eukaryota; Fungi. The record is from RNAcentral.
AACGCAUAUUGCACUCCUCGGUAUUCCUUGGAGUAUGUCUGUUUCAGUAUCAUAAAGUAAUAUCAAGUCUUUAGGGCUUGGAGGUGGGCUUCGUAGAUUAUUUCUACUUGCCUGAAAUUCAUUCGUGGCCGCAUCUUGUCAAAGAUAGAGGCGUCAUAGUUGACUUUGGUCAUCUUUCGCUGACACCUUUGAAAGUGCAUAAGACUACGUUAAAUUUUUCAUCUACUUGAUCUGAAAUCAGAUAAGACUACCCGCUGAACUUAA